CAUUACCAGUAUUAGAGGCACUGCCUGCCCAGUGACAUUAGUUAAACGGCCGCGGUAUCCUGACCGUGCAAAGGUAGCAUAAUCAUUUGUUCCUUAAUUAGGGACUUGUAUGAACGGCCCCACGAGGGUUUAACUGUCUCUUACUUUCAAUCAGUGAAAUUGACCUUCCCGUGAAGAGGCGGGAAUACAAAAAUAAGACGAGAAGACCCUAUGGAGCUUAAAUUAAUAUGUUCAACAGAAUUUAAUUAUAAUCCAAUAGGAUAAAAUAUUCUAACUGAACAAUAAAUUUUGGUUGGGGUGACCUCGGAGUAUAACAUAACCUCCGAGCAAUUAAACCAAGACUUACCAGUCAAGGCCAUAUAACUUAUUGAUCCAAUCUUAUUGAUCAACGAAACAAGUUACCCUAGGGAUAACAGCGCAAUCCUAUUUAAGAGUUCAUAUCGACAAUAGGGUUUACGACCUCGAUGUUGGAUCAGGACACCCAAAUGGUGCAGCAGCUAUUNNAGGUUCGUUU
Molecule: ribosomal RNA, 514 nt
Filed under: Crocidura goliath
Lineage: Eukaryota; Metazoa; Chordata; Mammalia; Eulipotyphla; Soricidae
Description: partial 16S ribosomal RNA
Rfam family: Bacterial large subunit ribosomal RNA
Source: RNAcentral